CUCUACCAGAAAUGUUUAAGACUCUGGAGAGAGCUGACACAGGGAAGAUUGAGCUGGAUAUGCAACAGUGGCUGUGCCUGGCCAUCUUCUGACUCUGGAGACAAGACAAGAGAGAUGAUACCUGCUGGAGGAUUAACAAUACAUGCAUUGAAUUC
Molecule: long non-coding RNA, 155 nt
Organism: Perca fluviatilis (European perch)
Lineage: Eukaryota; Metazoa; Chordata; Actinopteri; Perciformes; Percidae
Exons: 2
Source: RefSeq, a predicted model, not a curated record